AGUUUGAUCCUGGCUCAGAGCGAACGCUGGCGGCAGGCCUAACACAUGCAAGUCGAACGAACCCUUCGGGGUUAGUGGCGGACGGGUGAGUAACACGUGGGAACGUACCUUUAGGUUCGGAACAACACAGGGAAACUUGUGCUAAUGCCGAAUGUGCCCUUCGGGGGAAAGAUUUAUCGCCUUUAGAGCGGCCCGCGUCUGAUUAGCUUGUUGGUGAGGUAAAGGCUCACCAAGGCUACGAUCAGUAGCUGGUCUGAGAGGAUGAUCAGCCACACUGGGACUGAGACACGGCCCAGACUCCUACGGGAGGCAGCAGUGGGGAAUCUUGCGCAAUGGGCGAAAGCCUGACGCAGCCAUGCCGCGUGAAUGAUGAAGGUCUUAGGAUUGUAAAACUCUUUCACCGGGGAAGAUAAUGACGGUACCCGGAGAAGAAGCCCCGGCUAACUUCGUG
RNAcentral lists this ribosomal RNA (451 nucleotides) under uncultured bacterium. Its description in RNAcentral is "bacterial SSU rRNA". It matches the Rfam family "Bacterial small subunit ribosomal RNA", at positions 10 to 507 of the family's 1533-position model. The record is from RNAcentral.